RNAcentral lists this ribosomal RNA (460 nucleotides) under uncultured bacterium. Its description in RNAcentral is "partial 16S ribosomal RNA". It matches the Rfam family "Bacterial small subunit ribosomal RNA", at positions 338 to 795 of the family's 1533-position model. The record is from RNAcentral.
CCUACGGGAGGCAGCAGUGAGGAAUAUUGGUCAAUGGACGAGAGCCUGAACCAGCCAAGCAGCGUGAAGGAUGACUGCCCUAUGGGUUGUAAACUUCUUUUAUAUGGGAAUAAAACAGGGUAUGCAUACCCUCUUGUAUGUACCAUAUGAAUAAGGAUCGGCUAACUCCGUGCCAGCAGCCGCGGUAAUACGGAGGAUCCGAGCGUUAUCCGGAUUUAUUGGGUUUAAAGGGAGCGUAGGUGGAUUGUUAAGUCAGUUGUGAAAGUUUGCGGCUCAACCGUAAAAUUGCAGUUGAAACUGGCAGUCUUGAGUACAGUAGAGGUGGGCGGAAUUCGUGGUGUAGCGGUGAAAUGCUUAGAUAUCACGAAGAACUCCGAUUGCGAAGGCAGCUCACUGGACUGCAACUGACACUGAUGCUCGAAAGUGUGGGUAUCAAACAGGAUUAGAUACCCUUGUAGUC